This 583-nucleotide ribosomal RNA is filed under the name Gnatholea eburifera. RNAcentral's name for it is "partial large subunit ribosomal RNA". The record is from RNAcentral. Lineage: Eukaryota; Metazoa; Arthropoda; Insecta; Coleoptera; Cerambycidae.
UUCCCGAAUUUAGAAGAGCUAUUUUUUUUAUUGUUAUAAAUAUUAAUAAUAUGUAAUUAGAUGUUAAUAUAUCUGGUUUUCUAAGAAAAUUCAAUUUUGUUAUAUUUAAGGGGAUUAGCUUUUAAUAGGAUUAGAAAUUUUGUUAUAUUUAGUCUAUUAGAAUUUUUUUUUUAAUUUUAAAAUUAAUAAUGAUUAAAUUAGUAUAAGGUUUUGAUAAGGAAUUCGGCAAAAAUUUCUUACCUGUUUAUUAAAAACAUGUCCUUUUGAAUAUAAUUUAAGGUCUAGCCUGCCCACUGAGGCCGCGGUAUUCUGACCGUGCAAAGGUAGCAUAAUAAUUAGUUUUUUAAUUGAAAGCUGGAAUGAAUGGUUGGAUAAGGAAAUGACUGUCUCUUUAAAAUAGAAUUUUAUUUUUAAGUUAAAAAGCUUAAAUUUUAUUAAAAGACGAGAAGACCCUAUAGAGUUUUAUUUUGGUUGGGGUGAUUGAAAAAUUAAAAAAACUUUUGAUUAUAAGAAUAAAUUACCUUAGGGAUAACAGCGUAAUUUUUUUUAGAGUUCAAAUCGAAAAAAGAGUUUGCGACCUCGA